RNAcentral lists this ribosomal RNA (512 nucleotides) under Dryadomyces sulphureus. Its description in RNAcentral is "Raffaelea sulphurea partial large subunit ribosomal RNA". It matches the Rfam family "Eukaryotic large subunit ribosomal RNA", at positions 76 to 591 of the family's 3401-position model. The record is from RNAcentral. Lineage: Eukaryota; Fungi; Ascomycota; Sordariomycetes; Ophiostomatales; Ophiostomataceae.
UGCCCCAGUAACGGCGAGUGAAGCGGCAACAGCUCAGAUUUGGAAUCUGGCCCCCCCCGGGGGGUCCGAGUUGUAAUCUGGAGAGGAUGCUUCUGGCGCGGCGCCCGGCGAGUUCCCUGGAACGGGACGCCAGAGAGGGUGAGAGCCCCGUACGGCGGGACGCCGCGCCUCUGCGAAGCUCCUUCGACGAGUCGAGUAGUUUGGGAAUGCUGCUCCAAACGGGAGGUAAAUUUCUCCUAAAGCUAAAUACCGGCCGGAGACCGAUAGCGCACAAGUAGAGUGAUCGAAAGAUGAAAAGCACUUUGAAAAGAGGGUCAAACAGUACGUGAAAUUGUUGAAAGGGAAGCGCCCGUGGCCAGACUCGCGCCCCGCGGACCACCCGGCGGACUCCGCCGGGGCACGCCGCGGGGCGCGGGCCAGCAUCGGCCCCCGCAGGGGGACAAGGGCGGCGGGAACGUGGCUCCUCUGGGAGUGUUACAGCCCGCCGCGCCAUGCCCCUGGGGGGGCCGAGG